GACUUACUAGUCCACCAGUACGCUAGAAUCUUCAAGAAACUUGUAUCCUUAACCAUUAAGCUCUCUUUCUCAAAGAAGAAAAAGAAAACAAAUUAACUUAAAAAAAAAGGUUCUUUCCCUAUCUUGAAAGUCUUUAUAUAGAGACCUAUAGGUUUAGCUCAUUUUCAUAUAUAACAACAUUGCAAACUUAGUGAAAGAAGUUAGCCACAUUGUCCAAAACUUAGAACUAAGAGAAAGGAGAUUGAUAGAGAGAAAUGCCUCCUCGUUGGGGACCUCCACCAGGGCCUCCCGGUCCAGGACCAUUUGGUUGCUGUGAUUUUCUCUGUGGUGGUAUAUGCAGGCUUGUAUCUUCCUGGUGAGUUUUUAUUUUUACUAUUUUUUUAUUUUUUUUUCUUGAAAAUUAGAAUGCUACUUCUUUUUGGGGAUAAUCUUGUUAAUUAGUUGAAAAUAGAACAGAAAAAUUAGGAUUCAAUUGAGCUUGGCUAAGGUGCUACAUAUAUAUUGGACUGGAUUAACAAACUUGUAAUUCAUUUUUAAGAAACUUUGAAUCAUACCCAUUACAAAGGACAAAGUUUUGCAAGCAUGGAUAUUAUAAGAAGAAUAUGUAAUUCAAUGGUGGGUUUGUCAAAAAUCACCUCCAAUAGAAAGAUAUUAAAUAAGGUUAUAGCUUAAGAUUAUAAUCAAUAUUGUAGCUAAACUUUAUCUCAUUACAAAUAUCACAAAAAAAUGAUCGUUAAUUUUAUAUCAAUGUACAACCUAGUUUGAGAAAAUGAAAAAAAGAAAAACGAAAAAGAAAGUAGUAAUGUAGAUUAUGAUAUAAUAUAUAUUAUAAAUUAUCAUUCUGCUUUUGUUUGGUACAUUUUAAAAGUUUCUAAUUUGGGCUAUUUUGUUGGCAGUUUCUAUUUCGGCGAUUUUGGCCCAUUAGCAUUGUUUUUUAAAAUAUUUAGGCCCGAAACACUGUUUGGGAAAUAUUUAGGGAAGUACCACUUUUGGGCGUACUCGAGCUUGGAGAGCUCGAGUACCCCAUAUUUCUGUUCCAGCGUGGCACCUGACGUUGGAACGUUGGAACAGAAAAAUUUAAAAAAUAAACUUGGUACCCGAGCUCAUGAAGCUCGAGUACUGCUCAGCCAUCUCUCCCUAUUACCCCACACUUAAACCUUCUGUUACCCACAAUACCCAACCAAGAACAGAGCAAAACAUACCCACAAACCAAACCUCUCAAUCUCGCUAUCUCCCUCUCUCAAUCUCGUUAUCUCCCUCUCAAUCUAAAGCUAUUUCCACACAAAUACUCUCAUUCUGCCUCUCAAUCUCGCAAAUACUCCCAUUCUCCCUCUCAAUCUCGCGAUCUGCUUCAUUCUCCGUCUCCGUCUCGCUCUCGGUCUCCCUCUCACAAGGCUAAUUCGCGUAUCGAUGAUGGCCGGGGGAGUGGAAUCGUGGUCUCCGUCGCCGUCGCGCCUGAGGGAAUAGGAGAAGGGAAAGUGGUGGUUGUUGGAGGAGCGAUGGUAAUGGCCUUUUCCGUUGGGUGACAGUGGUGCGACGUCGUCUUCGUCCUCAUCUUCUUCUUCGCCCUUUCUUCUCCCUGUCUCCGACCAAUUAGGGUUUUCAAUUUCAUUUCACAGAGUCGCCACGCGGACCAUUUCCCCUUCAAUGGCGCUUUUUGCGAUACAUAGGUUACAGCGUUCACAGAUUAUAGUGAUUACGUCAUUGCAUUAGAACGAGCACCAAAAUUUUUGAAAGACAGUUUAGCCUCAGUAUAUGCACUUUAUCUUUGCAUCUUAUAAGCCUUCAAAGAGAUGAAUGACAAUAUCUUCUUUGGUCUUGAAAUAUUUCUGGUACUACUCCAUGUCUUGUACAACUAAUGGGAUUAUUCUUCGUUCCAGAGUCUCUCCUAGAUGGCUGGUGGGUCCAAAUAUAUGGGAAUGUAAUUUAUAUGUUGUUUUAAUUUUAUGACAUGUAACAAUAUUCUUUCAUUAUUUCAUGACUAUAUAAUAUAUAUAUGUGUCUGAAUUGGACUUUAUUGUA
Molecule: long non-coding RNA, 2022 nt
Organism: Quercus robur (English oak)
Lineage: Eukaryota; Viridiplantae; Streptophyta; Magnoliopsida; Fagales; Fagaceae
Exons: 5
Source: RefSeq, a predicted model, not a curated record